AUGAAGGACGUUACUAACGACGAUAUGCUUUGGGGAGCUGUAAGUAAGCUUUGAUCCAGAGAUUUCCGAAUGGGGAAACCCAGCAUGAGUUAUGUCAUGUUAUCGAUAUGUGAAUACAUAGCAUAUCAGAAGGCACACCCGGAGAACUGAAACAUCUUAGUACCCGGAGGAAGAGAAAGAAAAUUCGAUUCCCUUAGUAGCGGCGAGCGAAACGGGAAGAGCCCAAACCAACAAGCUUGCUUGUUGGGGUUGUAGGACACUCUAUACGGAGUUACAAAGGACGACAUUAGACGAAUCAUCUGGAAAGAUGAAUCAAAGAAGGUAAUAAUCCUGUAGUCGAAAAUGUUGUCUCUCUUGAGUGGAUCCUGAGUACGACGGAGCACGUGAAAUUCCGUCGGAAUCUGGGAGGACCAUCUCCUAAGGCUAAAUACUCUCUAGUGACCGAUAGUGAACCAGUACCGUGAGGGAAAGGUGAAAAGCACCCCGGAAGGGGAGUGAAAUAGAACCUGAAACCGUGUGCUUACAAGUAGUCAGAGCCCGUUAAUGGGUGAUGGCGUGCCUUUUGUAGAAUGAACCGGCGAGUUACGAUUUGAUGCAAGGUUAAGCAGUAAAUGUGGAGCCGUAGCGAAAGCGAGUCUGAAUAGGGCGUUUAGUAUUUGGUCGUAGACCCGAAACCAGGUGAUCUACCCUUGGUCAGGUUGAAGUUCAGGUAACACUGAAUGGAGGACCGAACCGACUUACGUUGAAAAGUGAGCGGAUGAACUGAGGGUAGCGGAGAAAUUCCAAUCGAACCUGGAGAUAGCUGGUUCUCUCCGAAAUAGCUUUAGGGCUAGCCUCAAGUGAUGAUUAUUGGAGGUAGAGCACUGUUUGGACGAGGGGCCCCUCUCGGGUUACCGAAUUCAGACAAACUCCGAAUGCCAAUUAAUUUAACUUGGGAGUCAGAACAUGGGUGAUAAGGUCCGUGUUCGAAAGGGAAACAGCCCAGACCACCAGCUAAGGUCCCAAAAUAUAUGUUAAGUGGAAAAGGAUGUGGCGUUGCCCAGACAACUAGGAUGUUGGCUUAGAAGCAGCCAUCAUUUAAAGAGUGCGUAAUAGCUCACUAGUCGAGUGACACUGCGCCGAAAAUGUACCGGGGCUAAACAUAUUACCGAAGCUGUGGAUUGUCCUUUGGACAAUGGUAGGAGAGCGUUCUAAGGGCGUUGAAGCAUGAUCGUAAGGACAUGUGGAGCGCUUAGAAGUGAGAAUGCCGGUGUGAGUAGCGAAAGACGGGUGAGAAUCCCGUCCACCGAUUGACUAAGGUUUCCAGAGGAAGGCUCGUCCGCUCUGGGUUAGUCGGGUCCUAAGCUGAGGCCGACAGGCGUAGGCGAUGGAUAACAGGUUGAUAUUCCUGUACCACCUAUAAUCGUUUUAAUCGAUGGGGGGACGCAGUAGGAUAGGCGAAGCGUGCGAUUGGAUUGCACGUCUAAGCAGUAAGGCUGAGUAUUAGGCAAAUCCGGUACUCAUUAAGGCUGAGCUGUGAUGGGGAGAAGACAUUG
This 1535-nucleotide ribosomal RNA is filed under the name Staphylococcus aureus. RNAcentral describes it as "partial 23S ribosomal RNA". It matches the Rfam family "Bacterial large subunit ribosomal RNA", at positions 49 to 1581 of the family's 2925-position model. The record is from RNAcentral. Lineage: Bacteria; Bacillati; Bacillota; Bacilli; Caryophanales; Staphylococcaceae.